This 447-nucleotide ribosomal RNA is filed under the name uncultured bacterium. RNAcentral's name for it is "bacterial SSU rRNA". It matches the Rfam family "Bacterial small subunit ribosomal RNA", at positions 355 to 825 of the family's 1533-position model. The record is from RNAcentral.
UCAGGAAUUUUGGGCAAUGGGCGAAAGCCUGACCCAGCAACGCCGCGUGAAGGAUGAAGUAUUUCGGUAUGUAAACUUCGUAAGAAUAGGAAGAAUAAAUGACGGUACUAUUUGUAAGGUCCGGCUAACUACGUGCCAGCAGCCGCGGUAAUACGUAGGGACCAAGCGUUGUUCGGAUUUACUGGGCGUAAAGGGCGCGUAGGCGGUGUGUCAAGUCAGUUGUGAAAUCUCCGAGCUUAACUCGGAACGGUCAACUGAUACUGUCACACUAGAGUACAGAAGGGGCAAUCGGAAUUCUUGGUGUAGCAGUGAAAUGCGUAGAGAUCAGGAGGAACACCGAUGGCGAAGGCAGGCUCCUGGGCCAGCACUGACACUCAUGCACGAAAGCGUGGGGAGCAAACAGGAUUAGAUACCCCAGUAGUCGCUGAGCGGGCUGGCAAGGCGCAU